GCCUCCCUCUUUCUUCGUGCUUAACACAUGCAAGUCGAACGGAAAGGCCCUGCUUUUGUGGGGUGCUCGAGUGGCGAACGGGUGAGUAACACGUGAGUAACCUGCCCUUGACUUUGGGAUAACUUCAGGAAACUGGGGCUAAUACCGGAUAGGAGCUCCUGCUGCAUGGAGGGGGUUGGAAAGUUUCGGCGGUUGGGGAUGGACUCGCGGCUUAUCAGCUUGUUGGUGGUGUAGUGGCUUACCAAGGCUUUGACGGGUAGCCGGCCUGAGAGGGUGACCGGCCACAUUGGGACUGAGAUACGGCCCAGACUCCUACGGGAGGCAGCAGUGGGGAAUAUUGCACAAUGGGCGGAAGCCUGAUGCAGCAACGCCGCGUGCGGGAUGACGGCCUUCGGGUUGUAAACCGCUUUCGCCUGUGACGAAGCGUGAGUGACGGUAAUGGGUAAAGAAGCACCGGCUAACUACGUG
Molecule: ribosomal RNA, 468 nt
Filed under: uncultured bacterium
Lineage: Bacteria
Description: partial 16S ribosomal RNA
Rfam family: Bacterial small subunit ribosomal RNA
Source: RNAcentral